Molecule: ribosomal RNA, 460 nt
Filed under: uncultured bacterium
Lineage: Bacteria
Description: partial 16S ribosomal RNA
Rfam family: Bacterial small subunit ribosomal RNA
Source: RNAcentral
CCUACGGGGGGCAGCAGUGAGGAAUAUUGGUCAAUGGACGAGAGUCUGAACCAGCCAAGUAGCGUGAAGGAUGACUGCCCUAUGGGUUGUAAACUUCUUUUAUAAGGGAAUAAAGUGAGCCACGUGUGGCAUUUUGUAUGUACUAUAUGAAUAAGGAUCGACUAACUCCGUGCCAGCAGCCGCGGUAAUACGGAGGAUCCGGGCGUUAUCCGGAUUUAUUGGGUUUAAAGGGAGCGUAGAUGGGUUGUUAAGUCAGUUGUGAAAGUUUGCGGCUCAACCGUAAAAUUGCAAUUGAUACUGGCAGUCUUGAGUACAGUUGAGGUAGGCGGAAUUCGUGGUGUAGCGGUGAAAUGCUUAGAUAUCACGAAGAACUCCGAUUGCGAAGGCAGCUUACUAAACUGCCACUGACAUUGAGGCUCGAAAGUGUGGGUAUCAAACAGGAUUAGAUACCCUAGUAGUC